GUAUUUCAGCCGACCUUAUCCUCUAUAUACAUAGUGUUUAAGAAACUUUACCAUUUUGGGGGAAAGGAGGGAAUUGUUAGAUAUACAUAUCUAUGUUGCAGCAACUAUGUGAGGAGAAAUUCCAUCUUGCUCGUUCCUGUUUCUGUAUCACAGUGAAGUGCACAAAGUUUCCUCUACGUACAAAUUCUCCAUAUUUUCAU
This 200-nucleotide long non-coding RNA is filed under the name Nicotiana benthamiana. Its description in RNAcentral is "long non-coding RNA (NBEN_LNC040219)". The record is from RNAcentral. Lineage: Eukaryota; Viridiplantae; Streptophyta; Magnoliopsida; Solanales; Solanaceae.